This 343-nucleotide long non-coding RNA is filed under the name Phaseolus vulgaris (common bean). RNAcentral's name for it is "long non-coding RNA (PVUL_LNC003793)". Lineage: Eukaryota; Viridiplantae; Streptophyta; Magnoliopsida; Fabales; Fabaceae. The record is from RNAcentral.
CAAAACAGUUUUGGGACAGAGUGCGUUAGCUUGAAUCAAAGAAAUUCAAAGGGCAGAUUCAGAAGUUAAUUUUUCUUGAACCCAAAGAAAUUGAAAGAGCAGAUUGAGAAGUGAAAGCAAUUAGAAAGAAGUGAGAUAUUGCAGUGAUAAAGGCCUGAAAGAUCACAGAGAAAUCAAAUUCAGACGAGUGACACUGCAGAAUUUGAUUUCGCAAGCUUAUGAAAAACGAUUGAUUGGACCGUAGGGUUAUCUGGAUCCAUUCAAGAAGCUGAACUUGCACUUUACAAUUCUUCAAAUUUCAAAAAAACAAACUAAACCUAAAAACAGAGAGCAAUGCAGAGAU